UUAAGUUCAGCGGGUAGUCCUACCUGAUUUGAGAUCAAACGGUCAAAAUGUGUCCUCGCUGAGGAGAGACGUUUAUGAGCUCCGGCGAACCUCCAUUGCUGAAGGUUACCUAGUGGGAAACCACAAGCGUAGAUAGUUAUCACACCUGUGACGCCACCAAACACCGGCGAGCUAAUUCAUUUAAGAGGAGCUGGCUCACA
RNAcentral lists this unclassified non-coding RNA (200 nucleotides) under Tomentella sp. RNAcentral's name for it is "partial internal transcribed spacer 2". Lineage: Eukaryota; Fungi; Basidiomycota; Agaricomycetes; Thelephorales; Thelephoraceae. The record is from RNAcentral.